Molecule: ribosomal RNA, 355 nt
Filed under: uncultured bacterium
Lineage: Bacteria
Description: bacterial SSU rRNA
Rfam family: Bacterial small subunit ribosomal RNA
Source: RNAcentral
AGAGGGUGCAAGCGUUAGUCGGAUUUACUGGGCGUAAAGCGCGCGUAGGUGGCCAAUUAAGUCAAAUGUGAAAUCCCCGAGCUUAACUUGGGAAUUGCAUUCGAUACUGGUUGGCUAGAGUAUGGGAGAGGAUGGUAGAAUUCCAGGUGUAGCGGUGAAAUGCGUAGAGAUCUGGAGGAAUACCGAUGGCGAAGGCAGCCAUCUGGCCUAAUACUGACACUGAGGUGCGAAAGCAUGGGGAGCAAACAGGAUUAGAUACCCUGGUAGUCCAUGCCGUAAACGAUGUCUACUAGCCGUUGGGGCCUUUGAGGCUUUAGUGGCGCANCUAACGCGAUAAGUAGACCGCCUGGGGAGU